Molecule: ribosomal RNA, 936 nt
Filed under: Triticum aestivum (bread wheat)
Lineage: Eukaryota; Viridiplantae; Streptophyta; Magnoliopsida; Poales; Poaceae
Description: partial small subunit ribosomal RNA
Source: RNAcentral
AUGGGAGUUCAAGCAGAUCGAAGACCUCCUGGGGGUCUGGAUGGCCUCUAUGGGGUACAACUUGCGGGCCGGUCACCGUACAGUGAUGAUGAAGCUAUCAAAACAAGCAUUAUGGAUUCGUCAGCUAUGGAGCAGCAGGGGGGUGUCGGCAUGACUCGAAGUUUGAAGAUCAAGCAACUCUGGCGACAGAGACCCCCAUGCCUGAAGCCUAUUCACUGUAGUCUCUCAUGUGAUAAAAAUGUAGCUGAAACUGUUGCUAAUGUCGUCACAUCACUUCCUUUCAUCUUUCUUGGACUGCAGACACCAAGGCAAGUGCAUCUACGAACAACUAGAUUGCUUCUUCAAAGAAAGACCUUGAAUACUACACUUUAUGCUAACUCACUAAUUGGAGUUGGAGUUGCAUCUAGCUUGUAUCAUACUUCACGAGGAGAAAUCAGAAAAUACAUGCGGUGGGCAGACUACACAAUGAUCGCCACUACAACACUGUGCCUAACAAGAGCGCUUCGGGAUGAACAUCCAAGAUUACUAAUGGCAGCAUCAACGUUGCUCCUACCAUUCCAGCCCUUGAUGGUCACAGCCCUCCACACUGGGAUGAUGGAGGCAAGUAUUUUUUCCAAGCUCUCCAGCCAUGUUACUUUCAGAAUAAUAGACCAUCCUAGGGAGGAUUUAUUUCUUUGGUUCUUAACAUAUUCAUCUAUGAGUCUUUCCCUCGAAAUGACACACAAGAGUUCUCUUCUGCCCCAGGUUUCAUUUGCGAAACGAGCAUCCACAGAGCCAGAGCUCAAGACGGCACAUAACCUGCACAGGAUGUCGUCUCUGCUGGGUGGUGCGCUGUUCAUCGCCGAUGAUGUUUUCCCGCAGACCCCUUACAUCCACGCUGCAUGGCAUCUAGCUGCAGCGUUAGGCGUCUGCACAUGCAACAAGCUUCUUGAAUGA